GUUGUGAGCCACCAUGUAGUUGCUGGGAAUUGAGCUCAAGACCUGGAAGAGCAGUCAGUGCUCGUAACAGCUGACCUAUCUCUCCAGCCCCGAUUUUUGCUUUUUUGAUCCUCUUUGCUAAGUAUCUUUUUGAUAGCAUCUUGACAUUUAGGUAAAAGGAUAACAUUUGCUAACUGACAGAAUUAGAAGGCUCUGAGUGCUUGCCUGACAUAAGGGCAACCUUGGCUUCAAAACUGAGAACAUCUGGGUGGAGAGGUGCACACCUUUAAUCCUAGCACUCAGGAGCUGAGGCAGUCAGAUCUCUGUGAGUUUGAGGCCAGCCUGGUCUACAAGUGGGUUCCAGGACAGCCAGGGCUACACAAAGAAACAUAGAGAGAAACAACAACAAACCUGAAAGGAGCCAGGUGUGGUAAUGCAUGCCUUUAGUCCUAGCACUUAGGAGGCAGACUGAGGCUUCUGAGUUAAGAGGCCAGCCUGAUCUACUUCGAAAGUACCAGGCUAGCCAAACAUAAAGAUAUGCACACAGAGAGGUGUAGACACACACCCUACCCUCAAACCCAAGCAACAAAUGAGAGAGGGGAAGAGAUGUGGAACAGCUCUUUCAAGAUCCAAAACAGUUUUUUAUUUCUGCUAAAUAAAGUCUAUUUCUAAUAACCCGUAAGAACUUUACCUAGGCUUGCAAGGCAUUUUUCUAUUUCUUCUUUAGUAAAGAACCAUUUUCCUAAGAUUAACACUGGGGAAAUACCACUGGAAGCCUUCCCUGAUUGUGAGUGUGAGUUCAGUACACCAGCAGCUGCUCUAACUUGCAUCUUAAGUGUUUAUGGAAAGUCCAUGUGUUAGGGGUCUGCUCCGUAGCUUGUGGCACUUUUGGAAAGAUGGCCUCAGUGAGAGGCUGUACAUCACUGAGGGUGGGCCUUCACAGGCACUGUAUUUUGGCAGCCCAGCUUUUCAGCACUUAUGAAGAUGGAAAGGCUUAUUUUGGCUCAAGUUUUGUAAAGGCUUUUCCUCUGCUCCCAAAUCCUGGGAUUUCAGUUUUGUGCCACUGUCUUCUGCUAGUGUGCCAAGGGCCAGUUCCUUCCUUAUCUUUCACCUUACUCGAGCUUUUGGAAAUUAGCAAUGAAAACUCAGGUGGCUUUGCAACUUUAAUUUUUCAAACCUCAUUUUUAAUGAUGGUUCUUAAAUACUUUAACCUCCCAUCACCCACCAGAGGUAGUGGGAAAGAAAGGAUAUAGGGGAAGUAGACCUGUUAAUUCGUUCUUUGGAGCAAAUCUUACUUGUGUUGUCAGGAAAUCAGCAGUUCAGUUCACAGGUGAGCAGUGGCAGCUCCAUCCACUUGCAAACACUUUACGGAUACACCAGCAGUCCAGUUCAGUAGCUAGCAAACAUGAAUCAGUAGCAGUGUCACUACCUAGCAGAGACAGCCAGGCCUCAGCUUCUGCAGGAGGGACCAGGAGGAAAGCCAGGAGAGGCUCUUGGCUGUGCCUUUCUCAGGGAAGGGAAGAUGAAGGAAGAUUCCAGACCCGCAAGCAUUGAACAGCUAGCUCUAUAAGCAAGCCUAGCUUGCAUCCAUCACUGUCCCUCGAGAUCUAUUUAUACCUUUCAAACAUCACAUGUUCUCCAUGGGUCUUGCCUCAGCACAUGUGUCUGUCUCAGCUGACAUCUCUCUGGCAAUCAGCCCUAGUCCACAGAAGCAGCAAGAAACUGCAGCACACCACCAGAAGUUUUUUGGUGCGUUUCUCUCUGUGGUGUCCCGACAAAUGCAGCUCAACUACCAGAUGUAAGGUGGACCAAUACAUUCAUGCCCUGAGCAAAGACUCCUUCAUCGCGGAUCGUUUCACGUGCUCGCAGGAGCAGAGCAUCCUUUCCCUGUGUCUGCUUCAGAGAAAUAAAUGUUCCUUCAUGAGCUCUCCUUAACCUUAACCUGUGGCCACGUCAGGAAAACACCGUCCAACACGACUGACUUUCCAAAGUACCCUAAGUUCCCACUUCAUGGCUUCCCAAUGAAGGAAUCAUUUUCACACUUCAUACCUACUAAAAUUUUAUCAACAUUUUCAAUGCAAAAUUAAUAGAAUUGUACAUUUUAAAAAAAGUUACCAUGAUCCUUAACUUCAGAGUACUUUCAAAAUGAUAUAUUAAGACAGCAACACAGACUAAUAUUUUAGAGAGAAUACUACUCAUAAUAAAAUGAUGAAAAUAUGAUAGCAGUUGUAUUAAUUUUAUAUCUUAAAAAAAAAAACACCAACGCUUGAGAUGAGAAAGGUUACUCAGAAAUGUGUGUGUCUCAUUCUGAUCAGGCCGCGCUCGUCCUUUAUGGUGCAGAAUCACAGCUUAGGUCCUUUGGUUGAAAGGAAGCUGCACCUAAGGCAUUUCAAUGGGAAAUUCUUUGAAGAAUGUUUUUAGUGCAUAUCUUAGCUACACAGCAGGCGCCACUGUGACAGUUUAAUACACGCACACAAUGGUUUGAUCAUAUUCCCCUGGUAGUUAUCCUCUUCUCCGCUCCCAUUUCCUCUGACUCCUUGCGCCCAACUAGCCUUCCCCCUACUUUCAUGUUUUUUUCUUUCUUUUAAAAUUUUGUAAUCAUUAGGAUUGUUUGCAGGAACAUGGCCACCUGUACAAAUCAAAAUUCUUUUCCCUGAAUAGCAUUCGGAGGAAAGUGAUAAAAAUGCAUUAAUUUGAAUAUUGCAACUUAGGCAGUAAUGUGUGUCACAAAUGAUAUUAUGAUUCUUUAGUAGCAAACUGUUAGGGAUUAUAUAAUUCUGUUUUUUUGGGGGGAUGUGUAUGCACAUGUGUGCACAUGCAUAAUCACAUGUGUGUAUAUUUCAUGCACACUAGAAAUCUACUUUGGGCUGCUUCAUCCUUCGUUUUGUAACAAUGUCUCUUGUUUGGCCUAAUAUCCUUGGGUAGACUUGCUUGCUGGUCAGGGAACCCCAUGUCUUUGCCUGCUCUGUCCUGGGCUUACAAGUGUGCAUGGCCAUGCCUUUUUUGUUUGUUUGUUUAUAAAGUUUUUAAAAAUUUGUCUGUUUUGGAGGUCCAGCUCAGGUUAACCCAAGCUUUCUCUUUACUUAUUAAUUCUGUUUUAUAAAACAGUUGCUUAUAAAUUGUUUGGGGACUGGAGAGAUGGCUCAGCGGUUAGAGUACUGACUGUUCUUCCAGAGUUCAAUUCCCAGGAACCACAUGGUGGCUCACAACCGUCUGUGAUGGGAUCUGAUGCCCUCAGACAUACCUGUCUGAGGAGAGUGACAGUGUACUCACAUACAAUCAAUCAAUCAAUCAAUCAAUCAGCCAAUCUUCAAAAAAGUUUUGCUUGAUCUGACGUAAAAUUGGUUGUGUCCAGCACUGACUUUUUCCCUGUUUGCUUUUUGUUUUUUCAAAUCAGGGUUUCUUUGUGUAACGUCCCUGGCUGUCCUGGAACUCACAUUAUAGACUAGGCUGGCCUCAAACUCACAGAGAUCCACCUGCCUCUUCCUUCCAAGUGCUGGGAUUACAGGCAUGGACCACAUCACAAUAGGAAUUUUUUGCUUUUUGUUAUCUGCCACAGUUAGAGUUGUACACUUUAGAAACAUCUCUAAAUCCAUUUUAUAGAUUUGUUUGCUGGCACGUUUGAUCCCAUUACAGGGGAAGCUGAGACAGGAAGAUCAUGAAUUUCAGGCCAUCCUGGGCUAUAUAUAGGGAGACUGUCACAGUUUGUUUUUAGUCCUCUACAGCUGUUGGUUGUGUGAUCAGCCUUACAGAUUUGUAUUCUUUGUCCCAUGUGCUACUGGGAGAAUGUUUACAUUGUCUAUUUUUUUUUAAUUGCUUUUUUUAUUUUAUGAAUAUGAGUGGUUUACUUGCAUGUAUUUAACUGAAUCAUGUGUGUGCUUGAUGCCCAUGGAGGGCAAAAGAGAAUGUCAAAUUUUCUGGAACUGGACAAUUGUAAGCUGCUGUGUGGGUGCUGGAAAUUGAACCCAGGUCCUCUGGAAGAGCAGUGUGCACUCUUACCACUGAGCCAUCUCUCAAGUCCUACAUUGUCUCCCUUUCUCUUUUUCUUUCUCUCCCUCCCUUUCCCUCUCUCAUGGUUUUUUGUUGUUGUUUCAUGAUCUCUUAAUGUAGCCCUGACUGUCCUGGAACUCAGUAUGUGGACCAGGCUGGCCUGAGACUUACAGCCAUCCUACUCCUCAGUGCUGAGAGUGAGGUGACUCCUACACUGCCUUUAUAAUCCCCAGAAGUGAAGAAAGGGAAGGAAGCCCAGAGCCAAGACGCCUUCACCUGCAUAUGCCCCUUGAUUUGUAGGUUGGUUUUUUCCUCCCUUGCAGUAUGCACUCCAAAUUGUGUAAAAACCUGUCUUUCUACAAUUAAAAGACAUAGGGAAAUGAAGAGCAAAAGGAAAUGUAAGUUUUUAGUUUGUGUUUAACGUAAAAUGGGAAUAAAAAUAGAAUAGUGAAUGAGUUUGUGUGUAAUGUCAGAUUUAGUUUAUCAUGAUAACCAUCAGUGGUGCACCAGAUGUGUUGACUGUAUUUAGCUUCAUAUUAAAUUAAGCACAGCUAGUGGCCUGCAGAGUCCAUCUGUAUAGCUGACUAGGACUUAUGUUUGUUGCUAAUGCUGUUAGAUUUUCUUGCCAUGAUAUUUGGACUUUAAAUUGUUUGUGCAAAGGUGAGUCUUUGUAUUGGAUUGAAAACUGUAUUUUGUAAAUCAGCUGUGCUAAAUAAAGAGGCUUUUAUUUCAAUAGGC
This 4707-nucleotide long non-coding RNA is filed under the name Mus musculus (house mouse). RNAcentral describes it as "long non-coding RNA chr4:150328702-150333409". Lineage: Eukaryota; Metazoa; Chordata; Mammalia; Rodentia; Muridae. The record is from RNAcentral.